AAGAAAGCGUUUUAAUCAACAGUUAACGAUUUGUUUUGAAUUGUGAAUGGUUGGCAUCGUUUGUCGCGAAAAUUCUGGAAACAGAAACAGUGUAGCAGAGCUCAGUAUCGCAAGACGCAGAAAGUUCGAAGGACGUGAGGCGAUAUUACGCCUUGGCUGGCUCAUUUAUUAAUUCAUCGGGACUGUUUCGCUUUGUUAUUACGCAAGUUUGAGAAGUUAAAGUACCCGAAAAAUGACUGUUGAGGCAAUGGAAACAUCGGAGUGUAAACCGCAUGUGCCAGGGCCGAACGCGGUUGAUAUAUCACCAAAAAAAGACAAUGGAAUUCUUAAGGAAAUUAUUAAAGAAGGAACUGGUUCUGAAACACCAGCUCCUGGAAGUAAAGUUUUUGUGCACUAUAUUGGCACUUUAACUGAUGGAACUAAGUUCGAUUCAAGCAGGGACAGAGGAGAACCUUUUGACUUCCAGUUGGGGAAAGGAACUGUCAUACAAGCAUGGGACAUUGGUGUUGCAACUAUGAAGAAAGGUGAAGUAGCUGUUCUGACAUGCAAGUCUGAAUACGCCUAUGGAAAAUCAGGAAGCCCACCAAAAAUCCCACCAGAUGCAACACUUGUGUUUGAGAUUGAGGUUAUUGACUGGCAAGGAGAAGACAUAUCGCCAAAAAAGGAUGGCAGUAUAACGCGAUACCAAAUUAUUCAAGGUGAAGGCUAUAGUAGUCCAAAUGAUGGGGCAACAGUUGAAGUUAAUUUGGUUGGUAAACACAACGGGAAUAUUUUCGAAGAAAGAAGCGUUACUUUUCCACUUGGUGAAGGAAGUGAAUAUGGAAUCUGUGAAGGUGUAGAAAAAGCCCUGGAAAAAUUUAAAAAGGGAGAAAAGUCAAGAAUCAUCAUAAAACCAAAAUAUGCAUUUAAAAAGGAAGGCAAGCCUGACUUAAACAUACCAGGAAAUGCUGAAAUUGAGUAUGAAGUGGAACUAAAAAAUUUUGAAAAGGCAAAAGAAGCAUGGUCUCUAGACGCUGAUGAGAAAAUUGAACAAGCAAAAUUUUUCAAAGAGAAGGGAACGAAUUAUUUUAAAGCUGGCAAAUAUGCAUUGGCUGUUAAAAUGUAUAAAAAGAUAGUGAACUUCUUAGAGCAUGAGACAGGCUUUGAAGAAGAGAAGGAACCAGAACGAAAAUCACUUCUACUGGCUGGACACUUAAAUCUUGCCAUGUGUUACCUCAAGCUUGAGGAACACUUUGAAGCACGUGAACAGUGUAACAAAGCUCUCGAGGUACAACCAUCCAGUGAGAAGGGAUUAUUUCGCCGUGGGCAGGCAUACUUGGGAAUGGGUGAACCAGAAUUGGCAAAAACAGAUUUUGAAGCAGUUCUAAAACUGGAACCAGAAAACAAAGCUGCAGCAAAUAAUAUUGUUAUUUGUAAUGUAAAGAUAAAGGAGCAGAGGAGUCGAGAGAAGAAGAUCUAUGCCAACAUGUUUGAGAAGUUUGCUCAGAGAGAUAAAGAGGUUCCAAGUGACUUGCCAUAUGGCUGGUGGGAUGGGGGAAAAGUUAUAGUGGAAAAGGAUGAUGAACUCGCUCCGCCACCGCCUCCUAAGAAAUCGCUAACGCCUCUUAAGAAAGCGGUCGCCAAAGGUGGUAAUGAUUCAAAAGGUCCAUCAUCAGAUAUAAAAAAGGAUAAAUCUGAAGAAAUAGAUGCUAAAGAUUCUGUUUCUAAGGACACAUCCUCUCAAGCCUCAAAUAUCAAAGAAGAUCAUGGGCUAGAGCCAGACAUUAGUAGAGAGCCAGGUGUGAAAUGUUGACACCUGUUACAGUGUAUGUUGUGGCUGUUUGUCAUGUGUACAGCUGUUCUAUAAUUAUUCUUUCAAAAGAGGAAGAGUGGCGGAGGAACCAGCCAGACGUGAUGAAGACAUUGGGAGAAUGGGGUCAGGAUGAACGAGAGCGAGAAAUGACAGACUUUGAACGUGAAAAUCCAAAUAUUUUAAUGUUAAAUAAAACUGGUGAAUUCAAGAAUAUGUAAAUGCAUAAUUUAAUAUUACACAAAAUUUCUGAUCUCA
Schistocerca serialis cubense is the source of this 2047-nucleotide RNA transcript. It is a transcript of the gene named peptidyl-prolyl cis-trans isomerase FKBP4-like, with no coding region annotated. The transcript is spliced from 10 exons. The record is from RefSeq and is a predicted model, not a curated record. NCBI's taxonomy places the organism in Eukaryota, Metazoa, Arthropoda, Insecta, Orthoptera, Acrididae.